Molecule: ribosomal RNA, 301 nt
Filed under: uncultured bacterium
Lineage: Bacteria
Description: partial 16S ribosomal RNA
Rfam family: Bacterial small subunit ribosomal RNA
Source: RNAcentral
CAGCCGCCGCGGUAAUACGAAGGGGGCUAGCGUUGCUCGGAAUUACUGGGCGUAAAGGGCGCGUAGGCGGACAGUUCAGUCGGGGGUGAAAGCCCGGGGCUCAACCUCGGAAUUGCCUUCGAUACUGGCUGUCUUGAGUAAGAGAGUGGUGUGUGGAACUCCGAGUGUAGAGGUGAAAUUCGUAGAUAUUCGGAAGAACACCAGUGGCGAAGGCGACACACUGGCUCAUUACUGACGCUGAGGCGCGAAAGCGUGGGGAGCAAACAGGAUUAGAUACCCGCGUAGUCCCUGUCUCUUAUAC